UACGAAGGGGGCUAGCGUUGCUCGGAAUCACUGGGCGUAAAGCGCACGUAGGCGGCUUCUUAAGUCAGGGGUGAAAUCCUGGAGCUCAACUCCAGAACUGCCUUUGAUACUGGAGAGCUUGAGUCCGGAAGAGGUGAGUGGAACUCCGAGUGUAGAGGUGAAAUUCGUAGAUAUUCGGAAGAACACCAGUGGCGAAGGCGGCUCACUGGUCCGGUACUGACGCUGAGGUGCGAAAGCGUGGGGAGCAAACAGG
This 253-nucleotide ribosomal RNA is filed under the name uncultured bacterium. RNAcentral's name for it is "partial 16S ribosomal RNA". It matches the Rfam family "Bacterial small subunit ribosomal RNA", at positions 524 to 776 of the family's 1533-position model. The record is from RNAcentral.